AGUCACACAUUAGAUACCCCCGUAGUCCCAGCCGUAAACUAUGCUCGCUAGGUGUCAGGCAUGGCGCGACCGUGUCUGGUGCCGCAGGGAAGCCGUGAAGCGAGCCACCUGGGAAGUACGGCCGCAAGGCUGAAACUUAAAGGAAUUGGCCGGGGGGAGCACAACAACGGGUGGAGCCUGCGGUUUAAUUGGACUCAACGCCGGACAACUCACCGGGGACGACAGCAAUAUGUAGGCCAGGCUGAAGACCUUGCCUGAAUUCGCUG
Molecule: ribosomal RNA, 266 nt
Filed under: uncultured archaeon
Lineage: Archaea
Description: partial 16S ribosomal RNA
Rfam family: Archaeal small subunit ribosomal RNA
Source: RNAcentral